This 164-nucleotide small nuclear RNA is filed under the name Echinops telfairi (small Madagascar hedgehog). RNAcentral's name for it is "U1 spliceosomal RNA (ENSETEG00000021338.1)". It matches the Rfam family "U1 spliceosomal RNA". Rfam says of the family: U1 is a small nuclear RNA (snRNA) component of the spliceosome (involved in pre-mRNA splicing). Its 5' end forms complementary base pairs with the 5' splice junction, thus defining the 5' donor site of an intron. The record is from RNAcentral. Lineage: Eukaryota; Metazoa; Chordata; Mammalia; Afrosoricida; Tenrecidae.
AUAGUUACCUGUCAAGGGGAGAUACCAUGAUCACGAAGGUGGCUUUCCCAGGGCGAGGCUUAUCCAUCGCACUCUGGAUAUGCUGACUCUGCGAUUUCCCCAAAUGUGGGAAACUCCACUGCAUAAUUUGUGGUAGUGGGGGACUGCACUCGCACUCUCCCCUG